RNAcentral lists this ribosomal RNA (468 nucleotides) under uncultured bacterium. RNAcentral's name for it is "partial 16S ribosomal RNA". It matches the Rfam family "Bacterial small subunit ribosomal RNA", at positions 28 to 507 of the family's 1533-position model. The record is from RNAcentral.
GACGAACGCUGGCGGCGUGCCUAACACAUGCAAGUCGAACGGAAAGGCCCUGCUUUUGUGGGGUUCUCGAGUGGCGAACGGGUGAGUAACACGUGUGUAACCUGACCUUGAUUUUGGGAUAACAUCAGGAAACGGGGGCUAAGACAGGACAGGAGCCCCUGUUGCAUGGUGGGGGUUGGAAAGUUUCGGCGGUUGGGGAUGGACGCGCGGCUUAUCAGCUUGUUGGUGGGGUAGUGGCUUACCAAGGCUUUGACGGGUAGCCGGCCUGGGAGGGUGACCGGCCACAUGGGUACUGAGAGACGCCCCAGACUGCAACGUGGGGCAGCGGGGGGAAACCUUGCACAAUCGGCCGAAGCCGGAUGCAGCGGCGUCGGGUUCGGGAUGACGGUCUUCUGGUAAUAAACCGCUUUCGCCUGUGACGAAGCGUGUGUGACGGUAAUGGAUAAAGAAGCACCGGCUAACUACGUG